This 372-nucleotide ribosomal RNA is filed under the name uncultured organism. Its description in RNAcentral is "bacterial SSU rRNA". It matches the Rfam family "Bacterial small subunit ribosomal RNA", at positions 526 to 896 of the family's 1533-position model. The record is from RNAcentral.
CGUAGGGGGCAAGCGUUGUCCGGAUUUAUUGGGCGUAAAGCGCUCGCAGGUGGUUCGUCGCGUCGUGCGUGAAAGACCCCGGCUCAACUGGGGAGGGUCGUGCGAUACGGGCGGACUGGAGGCCAGUAGGGGGAUGCGGAAUUCCGGGUGUAGUGGUGGAAUGCGUAGAGAUCCGGAGGAACACCAGCGGCGAAGGCGGCAUCCUGGACUGGUCCUGACACUCAGGAGCGAAAGCGUGGGGAGCGAUCCGGAUUAGAUACCCGGGUAGUCCACGCUGUAAACGAUGCGCACUAGGUGUCGGGGGUAUCGACCCCCUCGGUGCCGCAGCUAACGCGAUAAGUGCGCCGCCUGGGGACUACGGCCGCAAGGCUA